RNAcentral lists this ribosomal RNA (468 nucleotides) under uncultured bacterium. RNAcentral describes it as "partial 16S ribosomal RNA". It matches the Rfam family "Bacterial small subunit ribosomal RNA", at positions 28 to 507 of the family's 1533-position model. The record is from RNAcentral.
GACGAACGCUGGCGGCGUGCUUAACACAUGCAAGUCGAACGGAAAGGCCCUGCUUUUGUGGGGUGCUCGAGUGGCGAACGGGUGAGUAACACGUGAGUAACCUGCCCUUGACUUUGGGAUAACUUCAGGAAACUGGGGCUAAUACCGGAUAGGAGCUCCUGCUGCAUGGUGGGGGUUGGAAAGUUUCGGCGGUUGGGGAUGGACUCGCGGCUUAUCAGCUUGUUGGUGGGGUAGUGGCUUACCAAGGCUUUGACGGGUAGCCGGCCUGAGAGGGUGACCGGCCACAUUGGGCCUGAGAUACGGCGCAGACUGCUACGGGAGGCAGCAGUGGGGAAUAUUGCACAAUGGGCGGAAGCCUGAUGCAGCGACGCCGCGUGCGGGAUGACGGCCUUCGGGUUGUAAACCGCUUUCGCCUGUGACGAAGCGUGAGUGACGGUAAUGGGUAAAGAAGCACCGGCUAACUACGUG